This 253-nucleotide ribosomal RNA is filed under the name uncultured bacterium. Its description in RNAcentral is "partial 16S ribosomal RNA". It matches the Rfam family "Bacterial small subunit ribosomal RNA", at positions 524 to 776 of the family's 1533-position model. The record is from RNAcentral.
UACGAAGGGUGCAAGCGUUACUCGGAAUUACUGGGCGUAAAGCGUGCGUAGGUGGUUCGUUAAGUCUGAUGUGAAAGCCCCGGGCUUAACUUGGGAAUUGCGCUCGAAACUACGUGGCUGGAGUGUGGCAGAGGAAGGUGGAAUUCCAGGUGUAGCGGUGAAAUGCGUAGAGAUCUGGAGGAACACCGAUGGCGAAGGCAGCCUUCUGGGCCAACACUGACGCUCAUGCACGAAAGCGUGGGGAGCAAACAGG